CCUACGGGAGGCAGCAGUGGGGAAUAUUGGGCAAUGGAGGAAACUCUGACCCAGCAACGCCGCGUGAAUGAUGAAGGUCUUCGGAUUGUAAAGUUCUUUUCUAAGGGAAGAAGAAAGUGACGGUACCUUAGGAAUAAGCCCCGGCUAACUACGUGCCAGCAGCCGCGGUAAUACGUAGGGGGCAAGCGUUAUCCGGAUUUACUGGGUGUAAAGGGAGCGCAGACGGCAGUGCAAGUCUGGAGUGAAAGCCCGGGGCCCAACCCCGGAACUGCUCUGGAAACUGUGCGGCUAGAGUACUGGAGGGGCAGGCGGAAUUCCUAGUGUAGCGGUGAAAUGCGUAGAUAUUAGGAGGAACACCAGUGGCGAAGGCGGCCUGCUGGACAGUAACUGACGUUGAGGCUCGAAAGCGUGGGGAGCAAACAGGAUUAGAUACCCCUGUAGUC
RNAcentral lists this ribosomal RNA (443 nucleotides) under uncultured bacterium. RNAcentral describes it as "partial 16S ribosomal RNA". It matches the Rfam family "Bacterial small subunit ribosomal RNA", at positions 338 to 795 of the family's 1533-position model. The record is from RNAcentral.